UACGGGAGGCAGCAGUGGGGAAUAUUGCACAAUGGGCGCAAGCCUGAUGCAGCCAUGCCGCGUGUAUGAAAAAGGCCUUCGGGUUGUAAAGUACUUUCAGUCGUGAGGAAGGUGUUAAGGUUAAUAACCUUAGCAAUUGACGUUAGCGACAGAAGAAGCACCGGCUAACUCCGUGCCAGCAGCCGCGGUAAUACGGAGGGUGCGAGCGUUAAUCGGAAUUACUGGGCGUAAAGGGCACGCAGGCGGUUAAUUAAGUUGGAUGUGAAAUCCCCGGGCUUAACCUGGGAAUGGCAUUCAAGACUGGUUAGCUAGAGUCUUGUAGAGGGGGUAGAAUUCCAUGUGUAGCGGUGAAAUGCGUAGAGAUGUGGAGGAAUACCGGUGGCGAAGGCGGCCCCUGGACAAAGACUGACGCUCAUGCGCGAAAGCGUGGGGAGCAAACAGGGAUUAGAUACC
This 453-nucleotide ribosomal RNA is filed under the name uncultured bacterium. RNAcentral's name for it is "bacterial SSU rRNA". It matches the Rfam family "Bacterial small subunit ribosomal RNA", at positions 340 to 786 of the family's 1533-position model. The record is from RNAcentral.